UACAGAGGUCCCAAGCGUUGUUCGGAUUCAUUGGGCGUAAAGGGUGCGUAGGCGGCGAGGUAAGUCGGAUGUGAAAUCCCGGGGCUCAACCCCGGAACUGCAUUCGAUACUGCUUUGCUCGAGGACUGGAGAGGAGAUUGGAAUUCACGGUGUAGCAGUGAAAUGCGUAGAUAUCGUGAGGAAGACCAGUGGCGAAGGCGGAUCUCUGGACAGUUCCUGACGCUGAGGCACGAAGGCUAGGGUAGCGAAC
RNAcentral lists this ribosomal RNA (250 nucleotides) under uncultured bacterium. Its description in RNAcentral is "partial 16S ribosomal RNA". It matches the Rfam family "Bacterial small subunit ribosomal RNA", at positions 524 to 773 of the family's 1533-position model. The record is from RNAcentral.